RNAcentral lists this ribosomal RNA (253 nucleotides) under uncultured bacterium. RNAcentral's name for it is "partial 16S ribosomal RNA". It matches the Rfam family "Bacterial small subunit ribosomal RNA", at positions 524 to 776 of the family's 1533-position model. The record is from RNAcentral.
GACAGAGGGUGCAAACGUUGUUCGGAAUUACUGGGCGUAAAGCGCGUGUAGGCGGCUGCGUGUGUCGGGCGUGAAAUCCCAUGGCUCAACCAUGGAAGUGCACCCGAAACUGCGUAGCUAGAGUCCUGGAGAGGAAGGUGGAAUGCUUGGUGUAGAGGUGAAAUUCGUAGAUAUCAAGCGGAGCACCGGUGGCGAAGGCGGCCUUCUGGACAGUGACUGACGCUGAGACGCGAAAGCGUGGGGAGCAAACAGG